GCCCACAUAGCUCAGUAGGUAGAGCACACCCUUGGUAAGGGUGAGGUCGACGGUUCAAAUCCGUCUGUGGGCUCCA
Molecule: transfer RNA, 76 nt
Filed under: Dehalococcoidia bacterium
Lineage: Bacteria; Bacillati; Chloroflexota; Dehalococcoidia
Description: tRNA-Thr
Rfam family: tRNA
About the family: Transfer RNA (tRNA) molecules are approximately 80 nucleotides in length. Their secondary structure includes four short double-helical elements and three loops (D, anti-codon, and T loops).
Source: RNAcentral